Molecule: ribosomal RNA, 465 nt
Filed under: uncultured bacterium
Lineage: Bacteria
Description: partial 16S ribosomal RNA
Rfam family: Bacterial small subunit ribosomal RNA
Source: RNAcentral
CCUACGGUGGGCAGCAGUGGGGGAUAUUGCACAAUGGGGGAAACCCUGAUGCAGCGACGCCGCGUGAGGGAUGAAGGUCUUCGGAUCGUACACCUCUGUCAGCAGGGAAGAACGGUCACUGUGCUAAUCAGCAGUGAAUUGACGGUACCUGCAACGGAAGCACCGGCUAACUCCGUGCAAGCAGCCGCGGUAAUACGGCGGGUGCGAGCGUUAAUUGGAAUUACUGGGCGGAAAGCGCUCGUAGGCGGUAUGUCAAGUCAAGGGUGAAAUCCCCGCGCUCAACGUGGGAACUGCAUUUGAAACUGGCAAACAGGAGUGUGUGAGAGGAUAGUGGAAUUCAAGGUGGAGGAGUGAAAUCCGUAGAUAUCUGGAGGAACAUCAGUGGCGAAGGCGACUAUCUGGCACAUAACUGACGCUGAGGAGCGAAAGCGUGGGUAGCAAACAGGAUUAGAUACCCUUGUAGUC